GGGUGGCCUCAAUGAUAGGAUUGAUGACAUUUAUGGUCAUCUAGACAGUCUUGGUGGCCAAGUGACUCCCAUGCAGGCACAGUUGGGCGACGUCUACGGCCGUGUGAACACCAUGACCGGGGAGGUCACGCGUCUGCGUCAACAAGUGUCGUCCUUUGAUGCUCGCUUUGCCCAAUACAACCAGGGCCUCACAGACAACAAUGACUACAUCGCCGACCUGGAGAAGCAGUGGGCCGCUUUCACCUUGCAGAAUCAAGACCAGUUCCGGCACCCCUCGGGCCCCCUCCGGGCCCCUACUGAGCUACCCUUUACCCAC
Molecule: long non-coding RNA, 316 nt
Filed under: Salvia miltiorrhiza (redroot sage)
Lineage: Eukaryota; Viridiplantae; Streptophyta; Magnoliopsida; Lamiales; Lamiaceae
Description: long non-coding RNA (SMIL_LNC011517)
Source: RNAcentral